This 497-nucleotide ribosomal RNA is filed under the name uncultured bacterium. Its description in RNAcentral is "partial 16S ribosomal RNA". It matches the Rfam family "Bacterial small subunit ribosomal RNA", at positions 28 to 507 of the family's 1533-position model. The record is from RNAcentral.
GAUGAACGCUGGCGGCGUGCCUAAUACAUGCAAGUCGAGCGAACGGACGAGAAGCUUGCUUCUCUGAUGUUAGCGGCGGACGGGUGAGUAGCACGUGGAUAACCUACCUAUAAGACUGGGAUAACUUCGGGAAACCGGAGCUAAUACCGGAUAAUAUUUUGAACCGCAUGGUUCAAAAGUGAAAGACGGUCUUGCUGUCACUUAUAGAUGGAUCCGCGCUGCAUUAGCUAGUUGGUAAGGUAACGGCUUACCAAGGCAACGAUGCAUAGCCGACCUGAGAGGGUGAUCGGCCACACUGGAACUGAGACACGGUCCAGACUCCUACGGGAGGCAGCAGUAGGGAAUCUUCCGCAAUGGGCGAAAGCCUGACGGAGCAACGCCGUGUGAGUGAUGAAGGUCUUCGGAUCGUAAAACUCUGUUAUUAGGGAAGAACAUAUGUGUAAGUAACUGUGCACAUCUUGACGGUACCUAAUCAGAAAGCCACGGCUAACUACGUG